UGCAAAGCACAUGUGGCUAUCUGGGCAGGUGGGGCAGAUCUGGGGCUUGAGGGGGAAAGCCUGGAGUUGCUGAAGCAAGCUGUGAAGCAGGGGAUGAUGAAAGUGCUCAGAAAGCCUCCCUGAGGCAUUGGUGGAAGAACUCUGGGGCAUUUGGGACCUUGUAGGAGCCAGGCUUUUGGCUGAGGGAGUUUGCGUGUAGCGGUGGGUGCCUCUGCUCUCAGCCCUGCUGUUGCCAUUACCUUUGCUUGCUCCUCCUGGCUGCUCUUUUUCCCUGGAGCCAGGGGGAUAAGCUGCCAUCCAGCUGCUCCAUCUCCUACCAGCCCUAUGAGCCUGUCUUUCCACAGGCGUGGAGUUUUCUGCUGGACAUGGAGUGUCCCCAUGGGCUGGGCACAGCGUGUGGCAGGGCUGCAGGUGUAGCUGUGGCUGCCAGGCCAGGCUUUCCAAGCGGAGAAGAGAUUUGAACUUGGCACAAAGUCAGAAGAUUCGCGAAGAGAGGAGCGCGUGUCUGGGGAGGGAAUGUUGCUUCCUUCCCUUUGCUUUUUUUUGGUUCAAUAAAUCUUAGCCCGUUUCUGA
This is a long non-coding RNA of Cyanistes caeruleus (blue tit), 573 nucleotides long. RefSeq lists it as uncharacterized. NCBI's taxonomy places the organism in Eukaryota, Metazoa, Chordata, Aves, Passeriformes, Paridae. The record is from RefSeq and is a predicted model, not a curated record.